RNAcentral lists this ribosomal RNA (1327 nucleotides) under human gut metagenome. RNAcentral's name for it is "bacterial LSU rRNA". It matches the Rfam family "Bacterial large subunit ribosomal RNA", at positions 1120 to 2495 of the family's 2925-position model. The record is from RNAcentral.
CAUUUAAAGAGUGCGUAAUAGCUCACUGGUCGAGUGAAGUUGCGCGGAAAAUUACCGGGGCUAAGCUAUACACCGAAAUUGCGGAUUUGCAGUUGAAAGAUACUGUAAGUGGUAGAGGAGCAUUCUGUAGUAGGACGAAGCAGUACCGAAAGGAGCUGUGGACGAGGCAGAAGAGAGAAUGCUGGAAUAAGUAGCGAGAGGAUGGUGAGAAUCCAUCCCGUCGAAAAUCUAAGGUUUCCUAGGGAAGGUUCGUCCGCCUAGGGUAAGUCGGGACCUAAGGAGAGGCCAAAAGGCGUAUCUGAUGGACAGCAGGUUGAAAUUCCUGCACUAUAGCUAUACUUAAAAGAUGCAAGGGACGCAGAAGUGGAAGAUAACCAUGGAAGAGGAAAGACAUGGCCCGCAAGGGGGAGUGAAACAAUAAGUAACGAAGUAUCAAGAAGCACGCUGACGAGAAAAGCUUGUAGAUAUUGUAUAGAAAUACCCGUACCGCAAACCGACACAGGUAGAUGAGGAGAGGAUCCUAAGACGAGCGGGAGAAGCAUUGUUAAGGAACUCGGCAAAUUAACCCCGUAACUUCGGAAUAAGGGGUACUGAUGUAACAGUCAGUCGCAGAGAAAAGGCCCAAGCAACUGUUUAACAAAAACAUAGGUUUCUGCUAAAUCGAAAGAUGAAGUAUAGGAGCUGACGCCUGCCCAGUGCUGGAAGGUUAAGGGAAGAGGUUAGAUUAUAUCAAAGCUUCGAACUGAAGCCCCAGUGAACGGCGGCCGUAACUAUAACGGUCCUAAGGUAGCGAAAUUCCUUGUCAGGUAAGUUCUGACCCGCACGAAAGGCGUAAUGAUUUGGGCACUGUCUCGACAAUGUCCCCGGCGAAAUUGUAGUACUAGUGAAGAUGCUAGUUACCUGCGAUAAGACAGAAAGACCCCAUGGAGCUUUACUGCAGUUUGAUACUGGGUUUCGAUGAUUUAUGUACAGGAUAGUUGGGAGGCUAUGAGUAAGAGGCGUCAGCUUCUUAGGAGCCAACGUUGGGAUACCAACCUUAAGUUAUUGAAAUUCUAACCUUUGAUCAUGAACUGGUCAGGGGACAAUGUCAGACGGGCAGUUUGACUGGGGCGGUCGCCUCCUAAAGAGUAACGGAGGCGUCCAAAGGUUCCCUCAGCGCGGACAGAAAUCGCGCGAAAGAGUGCAAAGGCAGAAGGGAGCUUAACUGAGAGACAGACAUGUCGACCAGAUACGAAAGUAGGGCUUAGUGAUCCGGUGGUUGUAAAUGGAAAUGCCAUCGCUCAACGGACAAAAGUUACCCUGGGGAUAACAGGCUUAUCUCCCCCAA